GAUCCUGGCUCAGGAUGAACGCUAGCGAUAGGCUUAACACAUGCAAGUCGAGGGGCAGCAUGGUCUUAGCUUGCUAAGACUGAUGGCGACCGGCGCACGGGUGCGUAACGCGUAUGCAACUUGCCUCACAGAGGGGGAUAACCCGUCGAAAGACGGACUAAUACCGCGUACACUCUAUGUUGGGCAUCCAAUGUAGAGGAAAUGAAAAUUCGCUGUGAGAUAGGCA
This 226-nucleotide ribosomal RNA is filed under the name uncultured bacterium. RNAcentral describes it as "partial 16S ribosomal RNA". It matches the Rfam family "Bacterial small subunit ribosomal RNA", at positions 15 to 231 of the family's 1533-position model. The record is from RNAcentral.